CCUACGGGCGGCAGCAGUGGGGAAUAUUGGACAAUGGGGGGAACCCUGAUCCAGCCAUGCCGCGUGUGUGAAGAAGGCCCUCGGGUUGUAAAGCACUUUCAGUGAGGAAGAACGCCUGGUGGUUAAUACCCAUCAGGAAAGACAUCACUCACAGAAGAAGCACCGGCUAACUCCGUGCCAGCAGCCGCGGUAAUACGGAGGGUGCGAGCGUUAAUCGGAAUUACUGGGCGUAAAGCGCGCGUAGGUGGCUUGAUAAGCCGGUUGUGAAAGCCCCGGGCUCAACCUGGGUACGGCAUCCGGAACUGUCAAGCUAGAGUGCAGGAGAGGAAGGUAGAAUUCCCGGUGUAGCGGUGAAAUGCGUAGAGAUCGGGAGGAAUACCAGUGGCGAAGGCGGCCUUCUGGACUGACACUGACACUGAGGUGCGAAAGCGUGGGUAGCAAACAGGAUUAGAUACCCGGGUAGUC
Molecule: ribosomal RNA, 465 nt
Filed under: Vreelandella stevensii
Lineage: Bacteria; Pseudomonadati; Pseudomonadota; Gammaproteobacteria; Oceanospirillales; Halomonadaceae
Description: partial 16S ribosomal RNA
Rfam family: Bacterial small subunit ribosomal RNA
Source: RNAcentral